RNAcentral lists this ribosomal RNA (410 nucleotides) under uncultured bacterium. RNAcentral's name for it is "bacterial SSU rRNA". It matches the Rfam family "Bacterial small subunit ribosomal RNA", at positions 355 to 775 of the family's 1533-position model. The record is from RNAcentral.
UCGAGGAUCUUCGGCAAUGGGGGCAACCCUGACCGAGCGACGCCGCGUGUGCGACGAAGGCCUUCGGGUUGUAAAGCACUGUCGAGGGGGAGAAAAGCGCAAGCUUGAUCUAUCCCUGGAGGAAGCUCGGGCUAAGUUCGUGCCAGCAGCCGCGGUAAGACGAACCGAGCGAACGUUGUUCGGAAUCACUGGGCUUAAAGGGCGCGUAGGCGGGCUGUCAAGUCCGGGGUGAAAUCCUCCCGCUUAACGGGAGAACGGCCUCGGAUACUGACGGUCUCGAGGAAGGUAGGGGCACGCGGAACCGUGGGUGGAGCGGUGAAAUGCGUUGAUAUCCAUGGGAACUCCGGUGGCGAAGGCGGCGUGCUGGACCUUUUCUGACGCUGAGGCGCGAAAGCCAGGGGAGCAAACGG